UUUCCCUCAGGCAUCCAGCAUUUUGUCUUUAUUUUAAUUCUAUUUUAUUUUGUUUUCUAUUUGUCCCAGAACAUUUGUGCUACUUCCUGUUUACUGUUCUGUCUGCCAUCUUUGUAGUCGUUUUAUAGAUUUUUUUUAUUUGUUUUCCUCUUGAUUGUCUCCCCCAGAACAAUUGACCGGCAAAAAUGGAUCUAGCAGGAGCAUACUUAAUUUUUCUUCGCCAGGACAAGCAUUCCCUUGAGGAACACACCUGCAAGUUUUUGGAUCCUGUUUACUAUAAUGAGGAAACAAAGGAUGAACGAGUUGGCAAAAAUCUCAUGAGAAGCAGUCGAACAUCCUUGACCACCAGAUGCAGAGUUCCUGAUUUGUACUUUUUGUGGUUGGCUGCUGGCUGAUGUUUUUCCAACUGAGUCACAGCAGAACAGCAAAACGCAGUAGAACUUUGAGCUGAAAGAGAAGGCGUAUGACAGUUAUGAGAUUUUUAUUUAUUUAUGAAGCACUCUGACUGUUGUGAAGCUCAGACUGAUAACGGGUCACUUUCAGUGGCAUCACGUUGAUUGUACAUCAAAUUUGGCCUGACAUUAUUUUCCAGAGACAAUAAAAUAUGCAACAGUUUGGAUGAGCUGUAUGAUAGAGAUGAGUCACACCAAACUGGUUAAUGAUUAUAUGACCUGUUGAUUUAAUAUUAUAGUGAGCAGUAUUAUAGGAAUUAUGUUUUUCUAAAUAAGUCAUUAAAGCCACUCCUAUGCCUGACAUUUCUAUUUUGUUGAAACUAAAAAUGCUGGUAUUUUCACAUAGCAUUAAAUAACAUUUUAUUUACAUGUGGUGGAAAAAAUUGUUUGUCACCUAACUAAGACUUGACCCUAAGCCAGUAAAGUUCAUCAUUUGAGUUUUUUUCUUUCUUUUAAUCUCUGCAGCUUUGCGUCAUAACAUUAAGUCUAUAGGCAUUGAAGUAAUUUGUGCUUCUUCAUUUAAAAGAUUGUCCUGUUCGGACAUGUACGCUGAUUAAAAUAUCAUUUGUGCAUUGUGUUGCUCACUAGUGUGAUGUCAUGCAAAGCUAAAAUGUUACUAGUUUGUUCAUAAUAUCUUGGAAAAGUUUUUGAAUUUUGUAUUUUUAAAAUCAGUACAUCAGUAUCUGCAUCUG
This is a non-coding RNA of Pimephales promelas (fathead minnow), 1144 nucleotides long. Lineage: Eukaryota; Metazoa; Chordata; Actinopteri; Cypriniformes; Leuciscidae. The record is from RefSeq and is a predicted model, not a curated record.